Molecule: long non-coding RNA, 866 nt
Filed under: Nicotiana benthamiana
Lineage: Eukaryota; Viridiplantae; Streptophyta; Magnoliopsida; Solanales; Solanaceae
Description: long non-coding RNA (NBEN_LNC037707)
Source: RNAcentral
GAAAGAGCACAAGAUUGCAUUAUAUAUUAUAGGAUUCACAAAAAAAAAAGGGAAAAAAGGUUAGAACUAGCAUUAAAAAAAAUAGAGAAUGACAGCCAAUCCAUUUCUACUUUCUAGAUCGUCAUUAUUAGACAUCCUAGUAAUAAUGCAUAUAAUAUUAAAAGGAGAACAAAAGUCAAACAUGAAAUAAAAAUAUAUACAAAAUUAAAAACAUUUUACUUGUUCCUAAAUUGUAUGUAACAGUUAUGGGGGCUGAUAGCAUAAAAACUAUAAGAUCACUUUUAAAUUAAUUAUGGAUAAAUCUCAAUACCAAGCAUUAAACUUAAAUAGUAACAAUCUGUUAUGUAAUAUAUAUUAAACUAUACUAACGGGCAGCUCGGUGCAUUAAGCUCCCACGAAAAUCAGAUCACAAAGGUCUAUUGUAUGCAACAUUACCCUACAUUUUUGUAAAAUGCUGUUUUUAUGACUUGAACUGGUGAUCUCCUAAUCACGUGGCAGUGCUAAUCGUGUAAAAAAAAAAUUAGAAGGACAACUGAAUUAACUUUACCUGUGCAAUGGGAGUGAAAAUGCUUCCUUGAGGAGGUUUAUUUCUGUAAAAAAGAGUGCCAGCAACUAAGGUAAUUAAUCCCAAAGCCAUGGCAGCAGCAGAGACACCAAAUCCAACAUCCAUUCCAGAAUGUGUUUGUACCCAAACAAGAAGUGUAAGAGCAAUGAGUUCACCCAUUGAGGGCAGCAGCAGAGACACCAAAACCAACAUCCAUUCCAGAGUUUGUUUGUACCCAAACAAGAAGUGUAAGAGCAAUGAGUUCACCCAUUGAAAAUGCAAAAUAUGCAGCAUUGAAAUAUCUGGAUAAUUGCUUUGACUG